CCUACGGGAGGCAGCAGUGAGGAAUAUUGGUCAAUGGACGAGAGUCUGAACCAGCCAAGUAGCGUGAAGGAUGACUGCCCUAUGGGUGGUAAACUUCGUUUAUAAAGGAAUAAAACGAGGCACGUGUGCCUUUUUGCAUGUACUUUAUGAAUAAGGCUCGGCUAACUCCGUGCCAGCAGCCGCGGUAAUACGGAGGGUCCGAGCGUUAUCCGGAUUUAUUGGGUUUAAAGGGAGCGUAGAUGGGUUGUUCAGUCAGUUGUGAAAGUUUGCGGCUCAACCGUAACAUUGCACUUGAUACUGGUAGUCUUGAGUACAGUAGAGGUAGGCGGAAUUCGUGGUGUAGCGGUGAAAUGCUUAGAUAUCACGAAGAACCCCGAUGGCGAAGGCAGCUUACUAAACUGUGACUGACACUGAUGCUCGAAAGUGUGGGUAUCAAACAGGAUUAGAUACCCGUGUAGUC
This 460-nucleotide ribosomal RNA is filed under the name uncultured bacterium. RNAcentral describes it as "partial 16S ribosomal RNA". It matches the Rfam family "Bacterial small subunit ribosomal RNA", at positions 338 to 795 of the family's 1533-position model. The record is from RNAcentral.